UUAUUUUCGUCAGCGCGCUGUCUGAGAGGAGUUUUUAGGCGUUAUGGUUCGGUACGCAGUAAUGAACUGCGGAUUUUGGCUGAUCUGGAGGAAAAGUGAAAGAUCUAAUCAACGUUAUACUGUGAGUAAUGAUAACAAGAUUUUAUUCUCAAACUGUGGGAAAAUCAUUUAACACACAAACAAUGUGUCUUUUACUACCCCAUUAGCCGACUGAGGAGUUUAUAUGGAUACGAAUCUGAAAAUGUCAUUGAUUACUACCAUUGGAUCGCUGGCUGUGAUUAUUAUCUUCAGCUUGACCGCGGUAAUGAAUUAAAUU
RNAcentral lists this small RNA (316 nucleotides) under Yersinia ruckeri. RNAcentral describes it as "Enterobacterial sRNA STnc550". It matches the Rfam family "Enterobacterial sRNA STnc550". The record is from Rfam by way of RNAcentral. Lineage: Bacteria; Pseudomonadati; Pseudomonadota; Gammaproteobacteria; Enterobacterales; Yersiniaceae.